ACUCCUACGGGAGGCAGCAGUGGGGAAUUUUGGACAAUGGGGGCAACCCUGAUCCAGCAAUGCCGCGUGAGUGAAGAAGGCCUUCGGGUUGUAAAGCUCUUUUGUCAGGGAAGAAACGGUGGUGGCGAAUAACUACUACUAAUGACGGUACCUGAAGAAUAAGCACCGGCUAACUACGUGCCAGCAGCCGCGGUAAUACGUAGGGUGCAAGCGUUAAUCGGAAUUACUGGGCGUAAAGCGUGCGCAGGCGGUUGUGUAAGUCAGAUGUGAAAUCCCCGGGCUCAACCUGGGAAUUGCAUUUGAGACUGCACGGCUAGAGUGUGUCAGAGGGGGGUAGAAUUCCACGUGUAGCAGUGAAAUGCGUAGAUAUGUGGAGGAAUACCGAUGGCGAAGGCAGCCCCCUGGGAUAACACUGACGCUCAUGCACGAAAGCGUGGGGAGCAAACAGGAUUAGAAACCCCGGUAGUCCC
Molecule: ribosomal RNA, 470 nt
Filed under: uncultured organism
Description: partial 16S ribosomal RNA
Rfam family: Bacterial small subunit ribosomal RNA
Source: RNAcentral